Molecule: ribosomal RNA, 378 nt
Filed under: uncultured bacterium
Lineage: Bacteria
Description: bacterial SSU rRNA
Rfam family: Bacterial small subunit ribosomal RNA
Source: RNAcentral
GGCCCGCACAAGCGGUGGAGUAUGUGGUUUAACUCGAUGCAACGCGAAGAACCUUACCAGGGUUUGACAUCCUGCGAAUCUCUUGGAAACGAGAGAGUGCCUUCGGGAGCGCAGUGACAGGUGGUGCAUGGCUGUCGUCAGCUCGUGUCGUGAGAUGUUGGGUUAAGUCCCGCAACGAGCGCAACCCACGUCUUUAGUUGCCAGCAUUAGUUGGGCACUCUAGAGAGACCGCCGGUGAUAAACCGGAGAAGGUGUGGAUGACGUCAAGUCAUCAUGCCCCUUACAUCUGGGCUACACACGUACUACAAUGCUACGGACAAAGAGCAGCAAAGUUCGCGAGGACAAGCAAAAUCUCAUAAAACCGUGGCUCAGUUCAGA